AUGCAGCACGUCUCCUGCAGUCGGACCGCGGUUAACAUUAAUGGUGAGAUCGGGUCAUACUUCCCCACUCUCUGUGGGGUUCGGCAGGGUGACCCGUUCUCCCCGUUUUUGUUCAACAUGGUGGUCGAUGCCCCUGUUGUUAUCCUGGAUAAGGCCAAAGCUUCUGGACAUAUUCAUGGCUUAGUCCCUCAUCUGGUAGGAGGGGGAGGGGUCUCCCUCCUACAAUAUGCGGACGAUACAAUAAUAAUGGUGGAGGGAUCCGCAUCCGACAUAGCCAACCUGAAGUUCCUCCUCCUUUGCUUCCAACAGAUGUCUGGGCUCACUAUCAACUUCGAUAAGAGCAAAGUGAUGAUCCUUGGCUAUCCUCCGGAGGAGGUCUAG
Molecule: ribosomal RNA, 381 nt
Filed under: Triticum aestivum (bread wheat)
Lineage: Eukaryota; Viridiplantae; Streptophyta; Magnoliopsida; Poales; Poaceae
Description: partial small subunit ribosomal RNA
Source: RNAcentral